UGAUCUGGAGCAAGCGAAGAGCCUCAAUCUUAUCCUCGUCUUUGAGGUUCUCUUGGCCUAAAAUCUCAAGAAGAGUCAAAACUGCACCCAUUUCCAGAAAUUCCAUCAGCAGCACAUCAGAGGGAAUCUAUAGCAGGAUGAAGACAACACAUUCACAACCAAAACUACAGGAGCCAACAACAUUGAUAUAUAUCAUCCAUAGAAGAACUGCAAGAUGCUGAUAUUGAUGUUCACAUUAUGCUUUCAAGACAUCAUCAAUGCCAAACCCCAGGAUUAAGUGACCCACCAUCACCCUGACCUGUACAGGACUGCCUUAAUCCACCACCAACCUAAAUCCACAGUGUGCUGCUAAUAAGAGAUAUGUCAGGACAUCAACCUCACACAUCCUUAAUAUGAGAUUCCUAAAUUCAGGAGGUUUUUGCUCUGCUCAGAAGUGGAGAAAACUGAACACGAUGUCCAAGUGCUGCAACCCAACCUAAAAGCCAGAGGGCAGCAUAUGCUACUAAAUGUAGCUCUGUUAUAUAUAAGA
This is a non-coding RNA of Misgurnus anguillicaudatus (oriental weatherfish), 529 nucleotides long. Lineage: Eukaryota; Metazoa; Chordata; Actinopteri; Cypriniformes; Cobitidae. The record is from RefSeq and is a predicted model, not a curated record.